This 66-nucleotide transfer RNA is filed under the name Tuxedo susansolomonae. RNAcentral describes it as "tRNA-Gln". Lineage: Eukaryota; Metazoa; Arthropoda; Insecta; Hemiptera; Miridae. RNAcentral also lists the same sequence under 1 other name. The record is from RNAcentral.
AUUUUAGUGUAUGUGGCAUACGAAAUUUUGAUUUUCAAGGACUUAGUUAAAUUCUAAGGAGUAUAA